RNAcentral lists this transfer RNA (76 nucleotides) under Methylobacterium sp. RNAcentral's name for it is "tRNA-Lys". It matches the Rfam family "tRNA". Rfam says of the family: Transfer RNA (tRNA) molecules are approximately 80 nucleotides in length. Their secondary structure includes four short double-helical elements and three loops (D, anti-codon, and T loops). Further hydrogen bonds mediate the characteristic L-shaped molecular structure. tRNAs have two regions of fundamental functional importance: the anti-codon, which is responsible for specific mRNA codon recognition, and the 3' end, to which the tRNAs corresponding amino acid is attached (by aminoacyl-tRNA synthetases). tRNAs cope with the degeneracy of the genetic code in two manners: having more than one tRNA (with a specific anti-codon) for a particular amino acid; and 'wobble' base-pairing, i.e. permitting non-standard base-pairing at the 3rd anti-codon position. The record is from RNAcentral. Lineage: Bacteria; Pseudomonadati; Pseudomonadota; Alphaproteobacteria; Hyphomicrobiales; Methylobacteriaceae. RNAcentral also lists the same sequence under 50 other names.
GGGUGCAUAGCUCAGUUGGUAGAGCAGCUGACUCUUAAUCAGCGGGUCCAAGGUUCGAACCCUUGUGCACCCACCA